Myotis lucifugus (little brown bat) is the source of this 212-nucleotide non-coding RNA. Lineage: Eukaryota; Metazoa; Chordata; Mammalia; Chiroptera; Vespertilionidae. The record is from Rfam.
AAGACUAUACUUUCAGGGAUCAUUUCUAUAGUUCGUUACUAGAGAAGCUUCUCUGAACGUGUAGAGCACCCGAAGCCACGAGGAGGAGAUGCAGCAUCCUCUCCUGAGCGUGAAGCCGGCUCUCGGCGUUGCUUUUGCAACUGCCGCCUGCCAUUGAUGAUCGUUCUUCUCUCUUUUGGGGGAGAAGAGGGAGAGGACGCAUUCUGAGUGGU